GAGAAAUGGCAGAGUGGUCGAUUGCGGCAGUCUUGAAAACUGUUGUACCUUCGGGUACCAGGGGUUCGAAUCCCUUUUUCUCC
This 83-nucleotide transfer RNA is filed under the name bovine gut metagenome. It matches the Rfam family "tRNA". From Rfam's summary of the family: Transfer RNA (tRNA) molecules are approximately 80 nucleotides in length. Their secondary structure includes four short double-helical elements and three loops (D, anti-codon, and T loops). Further hydrogen bonds mediate the characteristic L-shaped molecular structure. tRNAs have two regions of fundamental functional importance: the anti-codon, which is responsible for specific mRNA codon recognition, and the 3' end, to which the tRNAs corresponding amino acid is attached (by aminoacyl-tRNA synthetases). tRNAs cope with the degeneracy of the genetic code in two manners: having more than one tRNA (with a specific anti-codon) for a particular amino acid; and 'wobble' base-pairing, i.e. permitting non-standard base-pairing at the 3rd anti-codon position. The record is from RNAcentral.